CUUCCCCGUGGCGUGAGGGUGCGAGUGCCAAGCGAGGUGCCAAGGGAUAGGAGGACCUCACUGGGCAUCCUUGUGACACAGUAGUGACGUGUCCGUGCCCUAGAAACGCUCUAAACUGAUACGUCGGGGCCAUGGCUCACGUGAGACUAAAACUGUGUGUGGUAAUACUGGCAUUUGCUGGUCAUUACUGCUGGUGUAUGUGAUGUCCUCCUUGAAAUGGCAACCGGGAGAUAUUAAUGCUGCUCAGCACAUGGCACAAGCAGGUGAAAAGGCAAACAUUCCCAUGGCAAGAGCUGCAAAAAGUAAAAUAUUGAUCAAGGAGAUAUUAGAUGCAAUAAAGUUAAGCAAUAACAGCAAGA
Molecule: long non-coding RNA, 359 nt
Organism: Penaeus monodon (black tiger shrimp)
Lineage: Eukaryota; Metazoa; Arthropoda; Malacostraca; Decapoda; Penaeidae
Exons: 3
Source: RefSeq, a predicted model, not a curated record